AUUAAUAUAGUUUUUUCAAAAAUACUGCUUUGUGGAGGUGGGGAUGCUUGUGCUAUUAAUC
This 61-nucleotide transfer RNA is filed under the name Stygobromus allegheniensis. RNAcentral's name for it is "tRNA-His". The record is from RNAcentral. Lineage: Eukaryota; Metazoa; Arthropoda; Malacostraca; Amphipoda; Crangonyctidae.